Molecule: ribosomal RNA, 489 nt
Filed under: uncultured Aneurinibacillus sp.
Lineage: Bacteria; Bacillati; Bacillota; Bacilli; Caryophanales; Paenibacillaceae
Description: bacterial SSU rRNA
Rfam family: Bacterial small subunit ribosomal RNA
Source: RNAcentral
GCCUAAUACAUGCAAGUCGAGCGGACCAAUGAAGAGCUUGCUCUUCGUGCGGUUAGCGGCGGACGGGUGAGUAACACGUAGGCAACCUGCCUGUACGACUGGGAUAACUCCGGGAAACCGGAGCUAAUACCGGAUACUUCUUUCAGACCGCAUGGUCUGAAAGGGAAAGACCUUUGGUCACGUACAGAUGGGCCUGCGGCGCAUUAGCUAGUUGGUGGGGUAACGGCCUACCAAGGCGACGAUGCGUAGCCGACCUGAGAGGGUGAUCGGCCACACUGGGACUGAGACACGGCCCAGACUCCUACGGGAGGCAGCAGUAGGGAAUCUUCCGCAAUGGACGAAAGUCUGACGGAGCAACGCCGCGUGAACGAUGAAGGUUUUCGGAUCGUAAAGUUCUGUUGUUAGGGAAGAACCGCCGGGAUGACCUCCCGGUCUGACGGUACCUAACGAGAAAGCCCCGGCUAACUACGUGCCAGCAGCCGCCGGUAA